UUGAAUUUUGGAGACUUAUAUUCAUAAUUUACCAGCUCUUCAUCAUCCGUAAUCGAACCGAACUUAAGAGAUGCCAAAUUUUUGCACGUGGCCUUUAUUGGUCGGGGGUGUAAAUUGGACCCCACACUUGUAAGCGCGUUGGUUGAAAGGAGGAAACCUGAGACGCACACAUUCCACAUUCCAUGCAGCGAGUGCACUAUCACUCUAGAGGAUGUGCAAUUACAGCUCGAGUUACCGGUGGAUGGGCCAAUAGUGACUGGGUCAGUUCACGUAGCCAAUUGGAGAGACGUGUGCCAGCAACUUUUGCGGCGGGUUCCGGAAACAAUUUUUAGAGCCUGGAUAGAUAUGAAUUGGCUAAUAAAAAAUUUCAGUGGGCUCAAUGAGGACUCGACUGAAGUCCAAAGAGAACAACACGCUCAGGGGUACAUCCUUAUGAUUAUCGGAGGUCUCCUAAUGCCCAAUAAAUCACGAAAUCUCGUCUAUUUAAGGUGGCUUCUAAAACUCGUCAACUUUAGAGAAGUAGGUGAACUCAACUAAAGGUCAGCUGUGUUGGUGACGUUGUACCGGGAGAUGUGUCGGGCGAUCGAACCAUAUAAAAUCAAAAUCGGUGGUUGCAUGCUUCUACUACAAUCAUGGGUGCGAUACCGACUGCCAUUUUUACGUCCUCAAGUGGGCUACCCUUAUACAUUCUCACUCGUAGCAAGGUGGAACCAUGAGCCAAGUUACAUGGGAUAAUCUGACGAGCUUCGAGAUAUGCGACUUCUGUUAGACCAAUGAUCGAAAGUGGAGUUUGAAUGGACGCCUUACUUCGAUCCGACAAUUCAAGAAUGCAUCCCGUCAGAAUUCUUGGUUAAUCCCAACAUUUGGCACGUGAAGGUUCCAUUGGUAAUGUACACUAUCGUGGAGAUACACGAGUCGGAUAAAGUGUUACGACAAUUCAGGUUUCGGCAAUCGAUUCCAAUGGCACCCAUAGACCUCGAUGAUCUACAUCUUGUCGACUUGCAGAAGAAGACAGGUGAGAAUUAGACUACAUUCCACGCCCAAUAUAUCAUGUGGAAUAAUAGGUACGAGUUUUUACCUACUCCUAAGCCCAUUUUUGCUCCUGAGUUAGCCUGCUAUUCGCAGUACAUGCUAUGGUUUAGGGUCCAUGGCAAGCCAUAUCUACUAGGUGAAGAGGCGAGGGGCAGGACACAGUAUAAGAGGAGGCCACAACGGGCGCCUACGAAUCCAAGAAGAAGAGGCCACGACGGAGAUGAUAAGACGAGUCCAUCGUUUACACCGAUGCAAGAACUGACACCGAUGGUCGCACCACCCACUGGUCAGUAUGGCUCGACUUAUUUUGGUGCUUAUACUAACCCUUUCUUUUUUUAUAUAAGCACCAUAUUUUCCUGCUUCUACUUCGAUUUUAAGUUUUACUUAUGGACCUUUGUCCCCGGCAUAUUACAUGUCGAUGCCAUUGAUAUUUUUGACGACCACGAUACCGACGAUGAUGUAUAGGCCGUUUAUGUUUGGCGCACUGACUGGGAGUCCAAUCACUAUGCCACCAGUGUAUAGGACACAAUAUAGUUAUACCCUUACGCCGAUGGUGUCGCAAACACCUCUGAGGUCACUAUUCUACCAGGGUAAGCCAUAUCCACAACUACCUAUUCCCAGAUCGGAGGAUACACGAUGGCAACCGAUGACCAACCAAUCACAAUCAACUAUGGACGAAAGCGAAGAAGAUGAGAGCCCAAGACCAUAACCUAUACUGGAGGUUGAACCAAGAAGGAACCCAACUCGUAACCUUCGACCACUGUGAUGUGGCAUACAUUCUGACCGGGGAUUGGAUUGAUUUUUUUUGUACCUGCCAUGUAAAAUUUUUAA
Long non-coding RNA from Gossypium raimondii (Peruvian cotton), 1863 nucleotides. RefSeq lists it as uncharacterized. The transcript has 3 exons. NCBI's taxonomy places the organism in Eukaryota, Viridiplantae, Streptophyta, Magnoliopsida, Malvales, Malvaceae. The record is from RefSeq and is a predicted model, not a curated record.